GAAAAGGAGAAGUAUAUUUUGGCAAAGGUAUACUUUCUUGCAUAUUUUAAGGGCUUUCCUUCUCCAUGUUAUACAUUUUAUCCCUUGUGCUAAGCUUGAUCAUCCAUCAACUCGGUCUUCUUGUUUUUCCAUGGAAUUCUACAAAGAGAAUCUCAUGAUCAUUUGUCUGUUGUUUCAUUAGUAGUGGAGGUCCAAUGUAGAAACAAUGUGUCUUCCCACUUAUUGUGAAAGAACUAUUUAAACAAUGUGUCUUUUGUGGUUUAUAGCAGCAGAAAUAGUUGACAGGUUGUGACAGUAGAAACUUUGGUUUCUUUUCUCUCUAAUCUAAUCCCAAGCAGACGAGCAAGUGAAUUCUCCAUUUGCAUUGGGCUUCCAGAUUGGUUGAUCAGAAACCAUCGGCUGGUAGUAAAUUUGAGUCGAAAAAAUGGUCGCGACAAGAUUCAGAGGUGCAGUUUUAAUGAUCUUUUCGAUAUUCCAGGUUCCAUUGAUCAAAAAGCAUACACUUUGAUGUUGUUUGGUGUUAAGUUUCCUCUUUUUUCAUGCUUUGUUUUGUGUGACUGCUAUCCUGAUUUACAUGUCUGCAUUAGAGUAUCUUGGGAUUUUUCUCUUGCUGCCCCUGUUCUUUGGCCUGAAGAGAACUACGAAAUUCUGAAAGUUUUUUGGCCGAUAAAUUUUGAUUUGUAAACUGUAAUUUGAAACCUGCAAUCUGGAACUGUAAUAUGCAAUUUGCAAUCUAGAAUCUGGAACCUGGAACUGUAAUCUGCAGCAAUCUGCAAUCUGGAAUCUGGAACCUGCAACAAUCUGCAAUCUGCAAUCUGCAAUCUGGAGUUUGGAACUGUAAUAUGCAAUCUGGAAUUCAAAAAAUAUGCAGUCUGCAAUCUGUAAUUUGGAACAGCUGCAAUCUGGAACUUCUUGCCUCUUCUAUAACUUCUACAAUCUGAUUUGUUGUACAUUUUAAAUGUGUAGGGAAAUGGAGGUGAUCAAAUUUGAAGGGUCGCCACAAGUCAAUUUGAUCUCAUUGAAGUGGAUGAUGAAGAGUUUUUGAACUAUUGUAAAACUUUGAAUACAUUAUGUUUGCUUUUGUGAAAUAUAUUCAUUGCUAGAAUAUAUUGAACUAUUGUAAGAAUACUUUUUUAACUAUUAUGUACACAUAUUUAGAAUAUUGCUUUAUAAGUUUGUGUAUGUACAGAAGACAUGAUAUUAUCUUUUGAAAUUUAUUGCAAAUCUAUAUAUUUGAAUUACUUAUUAGCCAA
This 1253-nucleotide long non-coding RNA is filed under the name Solanum tuberosum (potato). Its description in RNAcentral is "long non-coding RNA (STUB_LNC008082)". Lineage: Eukaryota; Viridiplantae; Streptophyta; Magnoliopsida; Solanales; Solanaceae. The record is from RNAcentral.